CCUACGGGAGGCUGCAGUGGGGAAUAUUGGACAAUGGGGGGAACCCUGAUCCAGCAACGCCGCGUGAGUGAAGAAGUAUUUCGGUAUGUAAAGCUCUAUCAGCAGGGAAGAAAAUGACGGUACCUAACUAUGAAGCUACGGCUAACUACGUGCCAGCAGCCGCGGUAAUACGUAGGGGGCAGGCGUUAUCCGGAUUUACUGGGUGUAAAGGGAGCGUAGACGGUGCAGCAAGUCUGAUGUGAAAGUGCGGGGCCCAACCCCGGGAGUGCAUUGGAAACUGGUGAACUGGAGUACAGGAGAGGUAAGCGGAAUGCCUAGUGUAGCGGUGAAAUGCGUAGAUAUGAGGAGGAACACCAGUGGCGAAGGCGGCUUACUGGACUGUAACUGACGUUGAGGCUCGAAAGCGUGGGGAGCAAACAGGAUUAGAUACCCGGGUAGUC
Molecule: ribosomal RNA, 440 nt
Filed under: uncultured bacterium
Lineage: Bacteria
Description: partial 16S ribosomal RNA
Rfam family: Bacterial small subunit ribosomal RNA
Source: RNAcentral